UUAGUGGCGAACGGGUGAGUAACACGUGAGUAACCUGCCCUUGACUCUGGGAUAAGCGUUGGAAACGACGUCUAAUACCGGAUACGACCUUCGGAGGCAUCUCCUGGGGGUGGAAAGAAUUUUGGUCAAGGAUGGACUCGCGGCCUAUCAGGUAGUUGGUGAGGUAAUGGCUCACCAAGCCGACGACGGGUAGCCGGCCUGAGAGGGUGACCGGCCACACUGGGACUGAGACACGGCCCAG
Molecule: ribosomal RNA, 241 nt
Filed under: uncultured bacterium
Lineage: Bacteria
Description: partial 16S ribosomal RNA
Rfam family: Bacterial small subunit ribosomal RNA
Source: RNAcentral